UUUGUUUUGUUUUGCUUUGCUUUGCUUUGUUCAUCCAGGACGUAUUUUGUUUGUUUUCACAGCCAGGUUCGAUUACACUUUAUUAUUGUGUCUGAAAUGUGUUAUGUUUGUAUCAUUGAUAUAUGUUCGUGAGUACUAUAGCGGCAACCAUCUUCAUUGUUUUAUUCAUGUUUUUGUUGCAUUGGAUUUACAGUACCACCAAAACUUUACACGCACAAAGUGCCAAGGUAUGUAAGGUAUUGGGUGCCAAGUGCAACUUCAAAUUUCAUGAGAAUAUGUAGAUACAUGUAUAUUAAUUAAUUUAAUACACAGAAAAACAAAGGCCACAAUUUCAACACAGUGCAAGUGUUGUGCUCAAAAUUUUAUACCCAAAAUAAUUUUGUAGAAUAAAUUCACACUGUUCCUUCCUUUCUGUCCUUUCUUGUUUCUGUUGGGUGAAUAUAUUUUUCAUUUUGGUGUUUUGUUUUAGAAGCAGCUUUGUGCAAGGGCGGAAAAUCACUCGUAAAACCACAUGUAAACAACUAUUUAUUUCUUGACAUGUUGUGCCUAUUCCUUAUUUAGCAUCGUAAAUGUUUAUGCAAAGUUUCAGCACAUACAGUAGAUGUGUUUUGAUGCAGAAGAAGAUCUCACAAGAUCUCAAAAUCGCUCAA
Molecule: long non-coding RNA, 650 nt
Organism: Sinocyclocheilus anshuiensis
Lineage: Eukaryota; Metazoa; Chordata; Actinopteri; Cypriniformes; Cyprinidae
Exons: 3
Source: RefSeq, a predicted model, not a curated record